UACGUAGGGGGCAAGCGUUGUCCGGAAUCAUUGGGCGUAAAGCGCGCGUAGGUGGCUUCAUAAGUCCGUUGUGAAAGUCAAAGGCUCAACCUUUGAAAGCCGAUGGAUACUGUGGAGCUAGAGUACGGAAGAGGCGAGUGGAAUUCCUGGUGUAGCGGUGGAAUGCGCAGAUAUCAGGAGGAACACCAAUAGCGAAGGCAGCUCGCUGGGACGUUACUGACACUGAGGCGCGAAAGCGUGGGGAGCGAACAGG
This 253-nucleotide ribosomal RNA is filed under the name uncultured bacterium. Its description in RNAcentral is "partial 16S ribosomal RNA". It matches the Rfam family "Bacterial small subunit ribosomal RNA", at positions 524 to 776 of the family's 1533-position model. The record is from RNAcentral.